UACGGAAGGCAGCAGUGGGGAAUAUUGGACAAUGGGCGAAAGCCUGAUCCAGCCAUGCCGCGUGUGUGAAGAAGGUCUUCGGAUUGUAAAGCACUUUAAGUUGGGAGGAAGGGCAGUCAGCGAAUACCUUGCUGUCUUGACGUUACCGACAGAAUAAGCACCGGCUAACUCUGUGCCAGCAGCCGCGGUAAUACAGAGGGUGCAAGCGUUAAUCGGAAUUACUGGGCGUAAAGCGCGCGUAGGUGGUUUGUUAAGUUGAAUGUGAAAUCCCCGGGCUCAACCUGGGAACUGCAUCCAAAACUGGCAAGCUAGAGUAGGGCAGAGGGUGGUGGAAUUUUCCUGUGUAGCGGUGAAAUGCGUAGAUAUAGGAAGGAACACCAGUGGCGAAGGCGACCACCUGGGGCUCAUACUGACACUGAGGUGCGAAAGCGUGGGGAGCAAACGAGGAUUAGAAUACC
Molecule: ribosomal RNA, 458 nt
Filed under: uncultured bacterium
Lineage: Bacteria
Description: bacterial SSU rRNA
Rfam family: Bacterial small subunit ribosomal RNA
Source: RNAcentral